Molecule: long non-coding RNA, 651 nt
Organism: Prunus persica (peach)
Lineage: Eukaryota; Viridiplantae; Streptophyta; Magnoliopsida; Rosales; Rosaceae
Exons: 2
Source: RefSeq, a predicted model, not a curated record
GAUUGCGGAGUACUUAUAACGCUGCCCAACUUCUUACGAAAUACACCACUGAAGGAGUUGGUCAUCGAUGGUAACUACUUAUUGUACUCUUCAGCACCAGUUGCACAAGGUUGCCGAAAAGGCAAAGGAGAGUGGCCCAAGAUUUCUCACAUCCCAAACAUCGAAGUUCAUAAAGAAUUUGUACAAAAAGACGGAGUUUACCAAAUUGAUGAUGAUGAGAUGCCAAGUGCCGCUUUCACCUCUUGUUCUGGUAUUAAAACAUUUCUCUAAAAUUGUCUUGGGCUAUAAAUCCUCUAUGUACCGACACCCCCAUUUUCAAAUUUCAGGUAUUUAUUACACUGCUUAUACGAUGAAUGUUGUGUAGAAAUUAUAUCUAUUUUAUCUACACUAACGGAAGCGGAAGAAGGUUUUGAUUUUCUUAUGUUAGUAGUUGAAGGUAUUUUCUGGCAUGCAAAGAGGGAAGUCCUAUUUGAAUUCACACUUUGUAGAUAACUUGUCAUGCGAGUACGUUGUACAGUAGGGAAAAUAAUUAUAAUAUCUGAUAUGUAAACAUAUAGAGAUAAUUGUUAUAUUUACAGAAUUCUGAAAAUAAAACUUCAUUAUAAAUUCGAAAUAAAUACAAGUAAAUAAUGAUAAGGAAAAUUAAGAAUA